AUUCUAUUCUGCAAAUCCACUGCAUAUGUUUAUUAGUUCCAGUUGCAUUUUGGUUGACUCUUUGUGAUUUUCUACACAGAAGAUCAUGUCAUCUACAAAGAAAUAGAGUUUUACUUCUGUCUUUCUGAUUUGGAUGAGUUUGAUUUCUUUUGCUAUUUCAUUGCUCUAGCUAGGACAGCCAGUAUUGAUUGAAUAGAAGGGGUGAGAGCAUUCUUGCAUCAUGUGAGAUCCUACAGGAAAAGCAUUCCAUUUUCCCUGACUGGUUAUUUCUGCUGUGGUCAUUUCAUGGAUGGUCUUUGUAUUGUUGAGGUCCCCAGUUCCAGUUAUUCCACCUGUCCGGACCGGACCAAUGUAUAUAUGUACUGAUUGCUGUCUCGUGUGUCUGUAAAAUGUGUGAAACCAAACUGCAGCCUCAACACCAUGGACACACGUCGUCAGGACCUCCUCAGGAUUGAUUUCCAGAGACUUAUGUUACUUGAGGAAGACACCAAGAAGAGCAAAGAAAAGGAGCCAGGGAUGGCUCUUCCUCAGAGACGUGGCUAUAGAGUUCUCUUUGUUGGAGUGGAAAAGCCUGGACCCUGCACAGAACGCUUUAUACAGGGCUGUGAUGUGGGAGAACUACAGGAACCUGGAGUCUGUGGGAUUGACUUCUAAAGACUCUUGGUACGUGAGGAAGAAACCCGGAAGAGGAAGAGG
RNAcentral lists this long non-coding RNA (696 nucleotides) under Pan troglodytes (chimpanzee). RNAcentral's name for it is "long non-coding RNA NONPTRT008614". The record is from RNAcentral. Lineage: Eukaryota; Metazoa; Chordata; Mammalia; Primates; Hominidae.